RNAcentral lists this ribosomal RNA (460 nucleotides) under uncultured bacterium. RNAcentral describes it as "partial 16S ribosomal RNA". It matches the Rfam family "Bacterial small subunit ribosomal RNA", at positions 338 to 795 of the family's 1533-position model. The record is from RNAcentral.
CCUACGGGAGGCAGCAGUGAGGAAUAUUGGUCAAUGGACGAGAGUCUGAACCAGCCACGCAGCGUGAAGGAUGACUGCCCUAUGGGUUGUAAACUUCUUUUAUAUGGGGAUAAAACGUCCCACGCGUGGGAUUUUGUAUGUACCAAAUGAAUAAGGAUCGGCUAACUCCGUGCCAGCAGCCGCGGUAAUACGGAGGAUCCGAGCGUUAUCCGGAUUUAUUGGGUUUAAAGGGAGCGUAGGUGGAAUGUUAAGUCAGUUGUGAAAGUGUGCGGCUCAACCGUAAAAUUGCAGUUGAAACUGGCAGUCUUGAGUACGGUAGAGGUAGGCGGAAUUCGUGGUGUAGCGGUGAAAUGCUUAGAUAUCACGAAGAACUCCGAUGGCGAAGGCAGUUCACUGGACUGCAACUGACACUGAGGCUCGAAAGUGUGGGUAUCAAACAGGAUUAGAUACCCCAGUAGUC